GUGCCUAACACAUGCAAGUCGAGCGAGGAGAUCCUUCGGGAUGAUCCUAGCGGCGGACGGGUGAGUAACACGUGGGCAACCUGCCUCAUAGAGAGGAAUAGCCUUCCGAAAGGAGAUUAAUACCUCAUAACAUUGCAGUUUCGCAUGGAACAGCAAUUAAAGGAGCAAUCCACUAUGAGAUGGGCCCGCGGCGCAUUAGCUAGUUGGUGAGGUAACGGCUCACCAAGGCGACGAUGCGUAGCCGACCUGAGAGGGUGAUCGGCCACAUUGGGACUGAGACACGGCCCAGACUCCUACGGGAGGCAGCAGUGGGGAAUAUUGCACAAUGGGGGAAACCCUGAUGCAAGCAACGCCGCGUGAGUGAUGACGGCCUUCGGGUUGUAAAGCUCUGUCUUCAGGGACGAUAAUGACGGUACCUGAGGAGGAAGCCACGGCUAACUACGUGCCAGCCGCAGC
Molecule: ribosomal RNA, 456 nt
Filed under: uncultured bacterium
Lineage: Bacteria
Description: bacterial SSU rRNA
Rfam family: Bacterial small subunit ribosomal RNA
Source: RNAcentral